Molecule: ribosomal RNA, 480 nt
Filed under: uncultured bacterium
Lineage: Bacteria
Description: partial 16S ribosomal RNA
Rfam family: Bacterial small subunit ribosomal RNA
Source: RNAcentral
ACUCAAAUGAAUUGACGGGGACCCGCACAAGCAGCGGAGCGUGUGGUUUAAUUCGAUGCAACGCGAAGCACCUUACCAGGGCUUGACAUGCAGUCGCACCGCCCUUUACCGGGCGUGCCCGCAAGGGACGGCUGCACAGGUGCUGCAUGGCUGUCGUCAGCUCGUGCCGUGAGGUGUUGGGUUAAGUCCCCUAACGAGCGCAACCCCUCGGGUUGGUUGUACUUCUCCAGCCCCACUGCCCAUCCGGGAGGAAGGAGGGGAUGACGUCAAGUCAGCACGGCCCUUACGUCCUGGGCGACACACACGCUACAAUGGCUGAGACAAUGGGGUGCCAAGCGGUAACGCGGAGCUAAUCCCACCAAACUCGGUCCCAGUUCAGAUUGGGGGCUGCAACUCGCCCCCAUGAAGUUGGAGUUGCUAGUAACCGCAAGUCAGCACAUUGCGGUGAAUACGUUCCCGGGUCUUGUACACACCGCCCGU